Molecule: non-coding RNA, 31 nt
Filed under: Homo sapiens (human)
Lineage: Eukaryota; Metazoa; Chordata; Mammalia; Primates; Hominidae
Source: RNAcentral
UCCGUAGUGUACUGGUUAUCACGUUCGCCUG